This 1004-nucleotide ribosomal RNA is filed under the name human gut metagenome. RNAcentral's name for it is "bacterial LSU rRNA". It matches the Rfam family "Bacterial large subunit ribosomal RNA", at positions 1926 to 2925 of the family's 2925-position model. The record is from RNAcentral.
AACGGCGGCCGUAACUAUAACGGUCCUAAGGUAGCGAAAUUCCUUGUCAGGUAAGUUCUGACCCGCAUGAAAGGCGUAAUGAUUUGGGCACUGUCUCAACAGCCCGCCCGGCGAAAUUGUAGUACCGGUGAAGAUGCCGGUUACCCGCGACAAGACGGAAAGACCCCAUGGAGCUUUACUGUAGCCUAAUAUUGGGUUUCGAUGUUGCAUGCACAGGAUAGAUGGGACUCUGGGAAACCAAGGCUUUGGCUUUGGCGGAGAGGCCGUUGGGAUACCAUCCUUGCGAUAUUGGAAUUCUAACCUGCGGCUCUGAAUCGAGUCGGGGGACAUUGUUAGGUGGGCAGUUUGACUGGGGCGGUCGCCUCCUAAAGAGUAACGGAGGCGUUCAAAGGUUCGCUCAGCUUGAACGGAAAUCAAGCAAAAGAGUGCAAACGCAGAAGCGAGCCUAACUGCGAGACUGACGGGUCGAGCAGUAACGAAAGUUGGAGUUAGUGAUCCGGUGGUAUGUGAGUGGAAAUGCCAUCGCUCAACGGAUAAAAGUUACCCUGGGGAUAACAGGCUGAUCUCCCCCAAGAGUCCACAUCGACGGGGAGGUUUGGCACCUCGAUGUCGGCUCAUCGCAUCCUGGGGCUGUAUUCGGUCCCAAGGGUUUGGCUGUUCGCCAAUUAAAGCGGUACGCGAGCUGGGUUCAGAACGUCGUGAGACAGUUCGGUCCCUAUCUGUCGUGGGCGCAGGAUAUUUGAUGGGAGCUGUCCCUAGUACGAGAGGACCGGGACGGACGUACCUCUGGCGCACCAGUUGUUCCGCCAGGAGCAUAGCUGGGCAACUACGUACGGAUCGGAUAAACGCUGAAAGCAUCUAAGCGUGAAGCCGACCCAAAGAUAAGAUAUCCCAUUGUUUUAAACAAGUAAGACCCCUUGAAGACUACAAGGUCGAUAGGCACGAUGUGUAAGUGGAGCGAUCCAUUCAGCAAGCGUGUACUAAUAGGUCGAGGGCUUGACCAC